RNAcentral lists this unclassified non-coding RNA (248 nucleotides) under Hevea brasiliensis (rubber tree). Lineage: Eukaryota; Viridiplantae; Streptophyta; Magnoliopsida; Malpighiales; Euphorbiaceae. The record is from RNAcentral.
CUCGAUUUCAGAGGCUUUUAGGAAAGAAGGUUAUAUUCGUCACUGGCACAGAUGAGCAUGGAGAGAAGAUUGCAACUGCUGCAGCUGCCCGUGGCUCUAGCCCAAGUAAACACUGUGAUGUCGUAUCUCAAGCUUACAAGAAACUUUGGAAAGAUUUAGAAAUUGCUUAUGACAAAUUCAUUCGGACAACCGAUCCCAAGCAUGAAGCAAUUGUCAAGGAAUUUUAUUCUAGGGUUCUUGCCAACGGG